AUGGGGUCACCAGGGUGGGAGGCUCAUGAAUGGGAUUGUUUCCUUACAAGAGUCACAAGACAGCCUGCUUUCUCUCUCUGCUCUCGGCCAUGUGAGGACACAAGUGGGCAGUUUGUAGCCCAGAAGAGGGGCCUCACCAGGACCCACGCUGGCACCCGAUCUCAAACCUCCAGCCUCCAGAACCACUGUUCCUUGAGAACCAGGAGCACCAACCUCUUCCAUCUGAGUCCAACCCUAGGACCAGCUAUUGGAGAAAGAAAACCAACUCACCUGACUACACUUCUACCAUGGAAGAGACCUACAUCCCAUGACCAAUCAAUGUAGGUGAUACAAAGCCCUCUCCCCUUGCCUCAGUUAGGGAUAUCUCAAAAGGGUCAACCCAGCUUCAGAGUUCCUUGUGAAAUUGUCUUAGGCACCUUGGGCACCUGUAUUGCCUUUCUUCCCUCCCCGUUGUCCUGUCCUGCUUCUUUCACUCCCUUGGAGUUGGUGUUCUGUGGAGCACUUCCAAAUAAGCCAUUGGGAUGCAGAUCUCCAUCUGGAAAUCUGUUUCCUGGGAAGCCCAACCUUUGACACACAAUGAAGAGACCUGAGGCUACAUAAAUGUACUUUGGCUUAUCUCAGUCUUCUCUCUGACGCAUGAGUUUAAAUCAAAUGGCAGGAAUGGUACGUUGAAGAAAAGAAACUAGAGAUAGCAUAGGGAAAAGAUGAGAGGUUUGGAACCUUGUAGUAAGAGCAAAACACAGGUCAGCGGACAUAAUCCAUAAUGGGCCAAGCAGUACUCUGAGCCUUAUAAAGAGAGAAAGAUGGAGGUCAUCCAGGAAAUUAUUGAGGGGACUGGAAGAGAGUAACAGUGAGCCGCUCUAUGGACCAGCUUGUGGAAGAAGGAAAUUCCUAGGUUAACUUCACACUAAAACUGAAUGCACAGUUGCUAAUCAGCCUGCAGGGUCUCGGUGGGUUUUUAUUUCCUGCGAGUCUGCCUAUUUUUGCAGUGUGAAGGAUUCUGGAUUAUCUUGGUGGGAGGAUUUUGGGUCCAUACUACAAAGGUAGGUGUAGGGAGGAAAGGCAGCUGGCGGGGAAGUAAGUAGAUGGGAUUUUUAGUUUCUGUUUUGUUUGUACAAGUUAGGAUGACUUAACCCUUGCUAAUAUCAUACUUUCUUGGGUUCAUUGUAUUCAGAGUGAAUUUUGAACAAAUCACUUAAUGUCUAAGAUCUUUUGUUUCUAUGUCUGUUGAAGUGGU
Long non-coding RNA from Mustela putorius furo (domestic ferret), 1237 nucleotides. NCBI's taxonomy places the organism in Eukaryota, Metazoa, Chordata, Mammalia, Carnivora, Mustelidae. The record is from Ensembl.